AGAGCGAACGCUGGCGGCAGGCUUAACACAUGCAAGUCGAGCGGGCGUAGCAAUACGUCAGCGGCAGACGGGUGAGUAACGCGUGGGAACAUACCUUUUGGUUCGGAACAACACAGGGAAACUUGUGCUAAUACCGGAUAAGCCCUUACGGGGAAAGAUUUAUCGCCGAAAGAUUGGCCCGCGUCUGAUUAGCUAGUUGGUGAGGUAACGGCUCACCAAGGCGACGAUCAGUAGCUGGUCUGAGAGGAUGAUCAGCCACAUUGGGACUGAGACACGGCCCAAACUCCUACGGGAGGCAGCAGUGGGAAUAUUGGACAAUGGGCGCAAGCCUGAUCCAGCCAUGCCGCGUGAGUGAUGAAGGCCCUAGGUUGUAAAGCUCUUUUGUGCGGGAAGAUAAUGACGGUACCGCAAGAAUAAGCCCCGGCUAACUUCGUGCCAGCAGCCGC
This 446-nucleotide ribosomal RNA is filed under the name uncultured bacterium. RNAcentral's name for it is "SSU rRNA". It matches the Rfam family "Bacterial small subunit ribosomal RNA", at positions 26 to 518 of the family's 1533-position model. The record is from RNAcentral.